GAUGAACGCUGGCGGCGUGCCUAAUACAUGCAAGUCGAGCGAACAGACGAGGAGCUUGCUCCUCUGACGUUAGCGGCGGACGGGUGAGUAACACGUGGAUAACCUACCUAUAAGACUGGGAUAACUUCAGGAAACCGGAGCUAAUACCGGAUAAUAUAUUGAACCGCAUGGUUCAAUAGUGAAAGACGGUUUUGCUGUCACUUAUAGAUCGAUCCGCGCCGCAUUAGCUAGUUGGUAAGGUAACGGCUUACCAAGGCGACGAUGCGUAGCCGACCUGAGAGGGUGAUCGGCCACACUGGAACUGAGACACGGUCCAGACUCCUACGGGAGGCAGCAGUAGGGAAUCUUCCGCAAUGGGCGAAAGCUUGACGGAGCAACGCCGCGUGAGUGAUGAAGGUCUUCGGAUCGUAAAACUCUGUUAUUAGGGAAGAACAAAUGUGUAAGUAACUAUGCACGUCUUUACGGUACCUAAUCAGAAAGCCACGGCUAACUACGUG
Molecule: ribosomal RNA, 497 nt
Filed under: uncultured bacterium
Lineage: Bacteria
Description: partial 16S ribosomal RNA
Rfam family: Bacterial small subunit ribosomal RNA
Source: RNAcentral